RNAcentral lists this ribosomal RNA (452 nucleotides) under uncultured Alphaproteobacteria bacterium. RNAcentral's name for it is "bacterial SSU rRNA". It matches the Rfam family "Bacterial small subunit ribosomal RNA", at positions 1077 to 1533 of the family's 1533-position model. The record is from RNAcentral. Lineage: Bacteria; Pseudomonadati; Pseudomonadota; Alphaproteobacteria.
UGGGUAGUCCGCACGAGCGCACCUCGUCCUUAGUUGCCAGCAGUUCGGCUGGGCACUCUAAGGAAACUGCCGGUGAUAAGCUGGAGGAAGGUGGGGAUGACGUCAAGUCCUCAUGGCCCUUACGGGCUGGGCUACACACGUGCUACAAUGGCGGUUACAAUGGGACGCGAAUGGGCAACCUGGAGCUAAUCCCCAAAAACCGUCUCAGUUCGGAUUGUUCUCUGCAACUCGAGAGCAUGAAGUCGGAAUCGCUAGUAAUCGUGGAUCAGCGUGCCACGGUGAAUACGUUCCCGGGCCUUGUACACACCGCCCGUCACACCAUGGGAGUUGGUUCUACCCGAAGCCGGUGCGCUAACCGUAAGGAGGCAGCCGACCACGGUAGGAUUAGCGACUGGGGUGAAGUCGUAACAAGGUAGCCGUAGGGGAACCUGCGGCUGGAUCACCUCCUUUCU